UACGUAGGGGGCAAGCGUUAUCCGGAUUUACUGGGCGUAAAGGGAGCGUAGGCGGCAGUGCAAGUCAGAAGUGAAAGCCCGCGGCUUAACCGCGGGACUGCUUUUGAAACUGCGCAGCUGGAUUGCAGGAGAGGUAAGUGGAAUUCCUAGUGUAGCGGUGAAAUGCGUAGAUAUUAGGAGGAACACCGGUGGCGAAGGCGGCUUACUGGACUGUAAAUGACGCUGAGGCUCGAAAGCGUGGGGAG
This 245-nucleotide ribosomal RNA is filed under the name uncultured Anaerosporobacter sp. RNAcentral describes it as "partial 16S ribosomal RNA". It matches the Rfam family "Bacterial small subunit ribosomal RNA", at positions 524 to 768 of the family's 1533-position model. Lineage: Bacteria; Bacillati; Bacillota; Clostridia; Lachnospirales; Lachnospiraceae. The record is from RNAcentral.